RNAcentral lists this ribosomal RNA (253 nucleotides) under uncultured bacterium. RNAcentral describes it as "partial 16S ribosomal RNA". It matches the Rfam family "Bacterial small subunit ribosomal RNA", at positions 524 to 776 of the family's 1533-position model. The record is from RNAcentral.
UACGUAGGGGGCGAGCGUUGUCCGGAGUUACUGGGCGUAAAGCGCACGCAGGCGGUCUGUUAAGUUUGUAGUGACAGUUGGUGGCUUAACUGCCAAAGUGCUUCGAAAACUGACAGACUUGAGGGCUUCAGAGGGACACGGAAUUCCGGGUGGAGUGGUGAAAUGCGUAGAGAUCCGGAGGAACACCAAAGGCGAAGGCAGUGUCCUGGGGAGUACCUGACGCUCAGGUGCGAAAGCCAGGGGAGCGAACGGG